This 496-nucleotide ribosomal RNA is filed under the name uncultured bacterium. RNAcentral describes it as "partial 16S ribosomal RNA". It matches the Rfam family "Bacterial small subunit ribosomal RNA", at positions 28 to 506 of the family's 1533-position model. The record is from RNAcentral.
GAUGAACGCUGGCGGCGUGCCUAAUACAUGCAAGUCGAGCGAACAGACGAGGAUCUUGCUCCGCUGACGUUAGCGGCGGGCGGGUGAGUAACACGUGGAUAACCUACCUAUAAGACUGGGAUAACUACGGGAAACCGGAGCUAACACCGGAUAAGAUAUUGAACCGCAUGGUUCAUUAGUGAAAGACGGUUUUGCUGUCCCUAAUAGAUGGUUCCGCGCGGAAUUAGCGAGUUGGUACGGUAACGGCUUACCAGGGCAACGCUGCGUAGCCGACCUGAGGGGGUGUUCGGCCCCCCUGGACCUGAGCACCGGCCCAGCCCCCGCGGGGAGGCAGCGGUAGGGAUUCUUCCGCAAGGGGCGAAAGCCUGCCGGAGCAACGCCGCGGGGGUGAUGAAGGCCUUCGGUUCGUAAAACGCUGUUAUUAGGGAAGAACAAAUGUGUAAGUAACUAUGCACGUCUGGCCGUUACCUAAUCAGAAGGCCCCGGCUAACUCCGG